UUUCCGUAGGUGAACCUGCGGAAGGAUCAUUGUCGAUACCUGAAUAGGCAGACCGCGAACUCGUUUCAACCCAAUGGGAUGCGCCGCGUGGGGCAACUCCGCGGCGGGCCCCCCUCCCGCAUGGGCUGCGGUCUAACGAACCCCGGCGCGGCAUGCGCCAAGGAAUACCAAUAGGAGCGUCCGCCCCCAUCGCCCCGUGCGCGGCCAGCGAGGGGGAUGUGCCUCAAUGUCUAAACGACUCUCGGCAACGGAUAUCUCGGCUCUCGCAUCGAUGAAGAACGUAGCGAAAUGCGAUACUUGGUGUGAAUUGCAGAAUCCCGUGAACCAUCGAGUCUUUGAACGCAAGUUGCGCCCGAAGCCUUUUGGCUGAGGGCACGCCUGCCUGGGCGUCACGCAUCGCGUCGCCCCACCCACCCCUCCGGAUAUUGGCCUCCCGUGGGCGCAAGCCUGCGGCCGGCUGAAAUGAAUUCACGUGGCGACCGCCGUCACCACAAGCUUUGGUUGAGCAUUGCACUCUCUCGCUGUCGUGUUUGGUGCGCCGCGUCUUGUAAGACCCAACUGCGCGAUUGCUCGUGUCUUCGUACGCGACCCCAGGUCAGGCGGGACCACCCGCUGAGUUUAA
This 622-nucleotide ribosomal RNA is filed under the name Xylocalyx carterae. RNAcentral describes it as "eukaryotic LSU rRNA". The stretch from base 237 to 392 matches the Rfam family "5.8S ribosomal RNA". Lineage: Eukaryota; Viridiplantae; Streptophyta; Magnoliopsida; Lamiales; Orobanchaceae. The record is from RNAcentral.